This 621-nucleotide long non-coding RNA is filed under the name Anser brachyrhynchus (Pink-footed goose). Its description in RNAcentral is "lncRNA (ENSABRG00000012067.1)". The record is from RNAcentral. Lineage: Eukaryota; Metazoa; Chordata; Aves; Anseriformes; Anatidae.
GAGCAAAGCAAGGAACAGUUUGCAAAGUCUUUUUCAGCACAGACCAGGAGGAGGUGCAAGAAGAUGACUUCUAGCAAAAAGAAUGCCAACACCUAAGUGUGCAUGUAUGAUCACUAAGUCAGCAAAACCAAUGAGACUAAACUCACAGCAAAAUAAGCAGCUGCUUGAAAGAACUGUUGCAUGGAGAGUGAUGUCCCACCUCAUGAAAGAUCUUCCUGUUUAUUUGGCUGCACUACGUGAUCUCAAGUGCCUUCGUGGAUGGUGGUAGAAAUUCCAGAAAUUUAUGGAUAUUGCUUUAGGAAACCAGGGAGCUGGCAGGAGUCGUUGGUGAAGGAGGAAAAUAUUUUCUUUGAUGCAUGCAGAAUAAUGCAGUGUCUGGAUGAUGUAUUUCAAAACAAAUGCUUCUCAACAUUUUCUCUCCUGUCUGGCUUGACUUUACAGGAUUGUCUGCAUUUAGCAUAUGCAGUGGAGUAUUUCCAGGGGUAAGGGGAAAGCCUGAGACACAUCAAGCUCUGAUUUCAGGCAUUUAAUUACAUUCCCUAACUUUUCAGUUGUAAAAAAGAAGUUAACGGCACCUCCAGCUCCAAUAAAGAUGCCAUGAAGACUUCUGUGAUGUUCCUG